UAAUAAACAUGAAUUUUCUAAUUUUUACUUUUGAAAAUCAAUUUAAACAUAAAUACGAACACGUUGAACCAAUUCGUUCGUCAAGUUUGGGCCGUAAGAAGGGAGCAAUAAAGCCCGGCCCAAUUAGUGGCCCAAACUCAUUGGUAGUUUGGGUCUCGGUUCGAUUCCAACGGGAGAUGGACCUUUCUGAGUCGCCAAAUCAAAGCGAAUUCCAUCUGUUGGCGCGGCCAUGGCGUCGUUUGGCUCUCUGAAGAAUGCCAUCUUCGAAAGAGAAGAGAGAAAACAGCAGUAUCAGGCGCAUGUGCGAGGCUCAAUGUUCACGAUCGCCGCAAGAAGUUUAUGCAGGUGAUUGCUUGUGAAAAGUUUUGGCAUUGUUUAGAUUUGAUCAAUGUUGGACGGAAGAAAUAGCUUGUUGACUUGGUGGUAGCCAAAUUGAUUAUCUGCUUUGGGAUCUUCUGAUAAAGUGGAGAUUGUUGUAAGUUGUGAUGAAGAAUAAGUUCAUGCAUCUUCUACGCAUAUGCUCAAAGAAGCUUCAUUACUAGAGAGAAAAUGAGAAACAGGAAAGGAUGGAGCAAGAAAUGUCCAAAAGGAAGAGGUACCACUCCAAACUUUAAGACCCUUUUGCCGUUUCUUUGCAGGAAAGAAGGCUUCAACAUCAUCACGGGGGGAUCAUAAAGCUGAUGACUAAAACGACUUUGAUGAAUAUGGGCCUCAAGGCUACACUUCCGGCCUCCACAAGGCAGUAUUUUCAGGUAUCUGCUUCCUUGAAACCUUUUCGAAGACGACAAAUGGCAAUUUAUAUCUUAAACAUAAAGCAUCAUGUGCAUGUGGUUGAUUCCCUAAUUGUUUAAUUGAGUUGUAUUGUAGCCUUGUCGUAAUCUAUCUACCUUGUUCUGUUGUAUGAGCUGUUAUGUGCAGCAGGAAUUUUAGUUCAGAAAAUCCAUCCACCCAAUUGAAACUAAUCAAAAGCUCUAAACCCUCCCAUAUAUUCAAUGUUCAUGCUCAGAUCCCCUUUUGUUCAUCGUCAUACUCGCUGUCACCACCCACCCUUUUCGACCUUUGUUGCCUUCCUCCCAUGGACUUGGACUUAAUUGUGGUCACCACCCACCCUUUUCGACCUCUCUUUCAAGUUUCGACCUUUGUUGCCUUCCUCCCAUGGACUUGGACUAUUGUAAUUGUGGUCACCACCCACCCUUUUCGACCUCUCUUUCGAGUUUCGACCUUUGUUGCCUUCCUCCCAUGGACUUGGACUAUUGUAAUUGUGAUAUACAAAAAAAGAAGUUUGGUCGAAGAUUAUUGAAAGAAAUAUUCUUAAAAUCAUGGGUUUAUAAGGUUCAUUGGUGUGAGGCCUUUUAGUAUUGUGAUUCUUAAUAAAGUUGUGGGUUGGUGGACGUGGACAAUGGGAUAAUUUCUCUCCGUCCUCUAGUUAUAUGAAUAACAAAAUUUUAUUAAUAAAGUCACUCUGGAGGUAUCUUUCUAAUAUAUAGUUUUAUUAAUAUAUUUUGACAAUUGGGCAUCUUGAUGUCAUUUUGAUGGUUAGUGCAUUGGGUGGGGUAAUAAAAGUAUUAUACAACUUUAAUUAAA
This is a non-coding RNA of Cucurbita pepo subsp. pepo (vegetable marrow), 1584 nucleotides long. Lineage: Eukaryota; Viridiplantae; Streptophyta; Magnoliopsida; Cucurbitales; Cucurbitaceae. The record is from RefSeq and is a predicted model, not a curated record.